GCCUGAGAGGGUGACCGGCCACACUGGGACUGAGACACGGCCCAGACUCCUACGGGAGGCAGCAGUGGGGAAUAUUGCACAAUGGGCGAAAGCCUGAUGCAGCAACGCCGCGUGAGGGAUGACGGCCUUCGGGUUGUAAACCUCUUUUAGCAGGGAAGAAGCGAAAGUGACGGUACCUGCAGAAAAAGCGCCGGCUAACUACGUGCCAGCAGCCGCGGUAAUACGUAGGGCGCAAGCGUUAUCCGGAAUUAUUGGGCGUAAAGAGCUCGUAGGCGGUUUGUCGCGUCUGCUGUGAAAUCCCGAGGCUCAACCUCGGGCCUGCAGUGGGUACGGGCAGACUAGAGUGCGGUAGGGGAGAUUGGAAUUCCUGGUGUAGCGGUGGAAUGCGCAGAUAUCAGGAGGAACACCGAUGGCGAAGGCAGAUCUCUGGGCCGUAACUGACGCUGAGGAGCGAAAGGGUGGGGAGCAAACAGGCUUAGAUACCCUGGUAGUCCACCCCGUAAACGUUGGGAACUAGUUGUGGGGUCCAUUCCACGGAUUCCGUGACGCAGCUAACGCAUUAAGUUCCCCGCCUGGGGAGUACGGCCGCAAGGCUAAAACUCAAAGGAAUUGACGGGGACCCGCACAAGCGGCGGAGCAUGCGGAUUAAUUCGAUGCAACGCGAAGAACCUUACCAAGGCUUGACAUAUACGAGAACGGGCCAGAAAUGGUCAACUCUUUGGACACUCGUAAACAGGUGGUGCAUGGUUGUCGUCAGCUCGUGUCGUGAGAUGUUGGGUUAAGUCCCGCAACGAGCGCAACCCUCGUUCUAUGUUGCCAGCACGUAAUGGUGGGAACUCAUGGGAUACUGCCGGGGUCAACUCGGAGGAAGGUGGGGAUGACGUCAAAUCAUCAUGCCCCUUAUGUCUUGGGCUUCACGCAUGCUACAAUGGCCGGUACAAAGGGCUGCAAUACCGUGAGGUGGAGCGAAUCCCAAAAAGCCGGUCCCAGUUCGGAUUGAGGUCUGCAACUCGACCUCAUGAAGUCGGAGUCGCUAGUAAUCGCAGAUCAGCAACGCUGCGGUGAAUACGUUCCCGGGUCUUGUACACACCGCCCGUCAAGUCAUGAAAGUCGGUAACACCUGAAGCCGGUGGCCUAACCCUUGUGGAGGGAGCCGUCGAAG
RNAcentral lists this ribosomal RNA (1162 nucleotides) under Microbacterium paraoxydans. RNAcentral describes it as "bacterial SSU rRNA". It matches the Rfam family "Bacterial small subunit ribosomal RNA", at positions 290 to 1461 of the family's 1533-position model. Lineage: Bacteria; Bacillati; Actinomycetota; Actinomycetes; Micrococcales; Microbacteriaceae. The record is from RNAcentral.